CCUUCACCUGGGCCGCGCGGCCCGCGGGCGGCGGCCUGCCGAGGGGUCGGGGGAGAGGGUCCCGGCACCCCGGGGACCACCCCGGGACGGUGGGGCCGCGCGAGAGCCUGCCUGGAACGCCCACGUGCCGCUCUGCCACGGACUCAGAAACGCCAGGUUGCUGUGCUGGCUUGGGCAACACACACACUAAAACAGCCACAGGUGGACGUUGCUUUGGUGAUCACCCACUCCAGAAGAUGACUUGCCCGAAGUUGUGGAAUGAAUUCUCUUACCUCUGACCAGUUUCUGUUACUUCCUCCUUAUUGUUGUUCCUCAAUCUGCCAGACAUUGGGAUACCUCAAAGAGUCCUUGGAGUUAAGAACAAAUAAUGCUUAAGGAGAGUGUCACCCACAGACA
This is a long non-coding RNA of Ochotona princeps (American pika), 396 nucleotides long. RefSeq lists it as uncharacterized. The transcript is spliced from 3 exons. Lineage: Eukaryota; Metazoa; Chordata; Mammalia; Lagomorpha; Ochotonidae. The record is from RefSeq and is a predicted model, not a curated record.